UACGUAGGGGGCAAGCGUUGUCCGGAUUUAUUGGGUUUAAAGGGUGCGUAGGCGGCCCUGUAAGUCAGUGGUGAAAUCCUCUAGCUUAACUAGAGGGGUGCCAAUGAUACUGCAGGGCUUGAGUACAGAUGAGGUAGGCGGAAUUGACGGUGUAGCGGUGAAAUGCAUAGAUAUCGUCAAGAACACCGAUAGCGAAGGCAGCUUACUGGGCUGUAACUGACGCUGAUGCACGAAAGUGUGGGGAUCAAACAGG
This 253-nucleotide ribosomal RNA is filed under the name uncultured bacterium. RNAcentral's name for it is "partial 16S ribosomal RNA". It matches the Rfam family "Bacterial small subunit ribosomal RNA", at positions 524 to 776 of the family's 1533-position model. The record is from RNAcentral.